RNAcentral lists this long non-coding RNA (1345 nucleotides) under Sorghum bicolor (sorghum). Its description in RNAcentral is "long non-coding RNA (SBIC_LNC005959)". The record is from RNAcentral. Lineage: Eukaryota; Viridiplantae; Streptophyta; Magnoliopsida; Poales; Poaceae.
CAGGCAGGCAGCCAGCAAUGGCCAUGGCGUCGUCGAGCGGGCUGAGGAGCUGCAGCGCCGUGGGCGUGCCCAGCCUCCUGGCGCCGUCGUCCCGGUGGUCCAGCCGCCUGCCGUUCUGCGCCAACGCCACCACCUCCGGCCGCGUCACCAUGUCCGCCGAGUGGAUGCCCGGCCAGCCCCGCCCUGCCCACCUCGACGGCUCCUCGCCCGGGUAAGCUAGCUAGCUAGCUAGCGGCUGAGUCUCUGUCUCUGUCUCUGUCUGACAACGGCGGCGCGGCGGCCGGCGGCGUGCUCUGCUCUGAUUUCUCUAGCUCUCUCUCUCUCUGACGAUUACAGGGACUUCGGCUUCGACCCUCUUGGUCUGGCGACGGUGCCGGAGAACUUCGAGCGGUUCAAGGAGUCGGAGGUGUACCACUGCCGGUGGGCGAUGCUGGCGGUGCCGGGGAUCCUGGUGCCGGAGGCUCUAGGGCUAGGCAACUGGGUGAAGGCGCAGGAGUGGGCGGCCGUCCCCGGCGGCCAGGCGACGUACCUGGGGAACCCGGUGCCGUGGGGGUCGCUGCCGACGAUCCUGGUGAUCGAGUUCGUGGCCAUCGCGUUCGCGGAGCACCAGCGCACCAUGGAGAAAGACCCCGAGAAGAAGAAGUACCCCGGCGGCGCCUUCGACCCGCUGGGAUUCUCCAAGGACCCCGCCAAGUUCGAGGAGUACAAGCUCAAGGAGAUCAAGAACGGCCGCCUCGCCAUGCUCGCGUUCGUCGGCUUCUGCGUGCAGCAGUCGGCGUACCCCGGCACCGGCCCGCUGGAGAACCUCGCGACCCACCUCGCCGACCCGUGGCACAACAACAUCGGCGACAUCAUCAUCCCCAGAUCAAUCUCCCCUUGAGCUCAGAUCAGAUGCAUGUUUUGUACGUGUGUCAUUGCCUUGCCAUUACUAGGCAUUGCCUGCUGCCUGCCUGCGUGCAGGAGCUGUACAACGACGACGGCGACUUCCUGCGCCGGAAAACCCCUUGUAAUGUAAAGCUUAUAUUAUUAAGUAGCGGCUACUCUUGUAGUCUUGUAUCAAAUCUAAACUGGUUUAGCUGAGUCCCAUGGUUAUUUCGAGACUAAUUAACCAGGGGAAGUUUAGCUUAAAACGGAGAAAAUUCAUACGAGAACUUUGACAAAUGAUAACUACAAAGUAUCUGUGUUUCUGCUUUCCGCAAACCCUUUUUUUUGUUUCUUUUUUUUCUCCUAGAUCUCUUUCGCUCUUUGCUGUAACUCUCACUUUCUUUUUGUUGUAACUUAACUUACCUGCCUUUAAUAAAAUUCCUGUAGGGGCCAAGGCCCCUCCAGUUCUCUCAAAAAAAAA